Molecule: ribosomal RNA, 423 nt
Filed under: Triticum aestivum (bread wheat)
Lineage: Eukaryota; Viridiplantae; Streptophyta; Magnoliopsida; Poales; Poaceae
Description: partial small subunit ribosomal RNA
Source: RNAcentral
AUGGAAGGAACUGAGAGGACGAUGGGGCUGCUGGUGGUGGAAGCACCGCGCAGAGGAGCAAAUGCUUCUUCCUCUUUCUCUUGGUGGUGGUGGUGGUGGUGGAAGCACGGCGGAGAGCAGCAAAUGCUUCUUCCUCUUUCGCUCACUCUGCCUCGGUUGGUUUGGGGAGAGAAGAAAAGGAGGAAUGCUACGUGUCGAGUGUUGAUUGUUGAGUGGCUGAGCACGCUAGGUUGUACAGUGCGUAUCAUAGAGAAAUUUGUCCUAGGGGGAGGAAGAUUAAUUAGGAGAAAGAUGAGAAGCGUAUCUACUGCAGAGAAUGCUCUCGUCUCCAUGGUUGCACUGCACCUGCACCUCGGAGAAAUUUGCUCUGUUUAUGCAUUUGUAUUGAUGUUCUUUCUGUGUUCCAUUACCAUACAUUCCUAG